Long non-coding RNA from Wyeomyia smithii (pitcher-plant mosquito), 4185 nucleotides. RefSeq lists it as uncharacterized. The record is from RefSeq and is a predicted model, not a curated record. Lineage: Eukaryota; Metazoa; Arthropoda; Insecta; Diptera; Culicidae. The transcript has 2 exons.
AAAAAUUGGAUUUUCUUUCAACAGCUGCUCUUAUUAAAUUACAUAUAUUUUCGGUUUAAGAUGACACUACUCUUAUAUCAACUAGCUAGUGGGAUCUAUCUGUCAAGGAAUAUCUUAACCAACAUAAUACGAAACGAAUAAAGCUACCACGACAAGGGGAAAUUGAAAACGAACAGUUUGGUGUGUAACAUAUCCCCGAAAACUAUUUUUCCUAAACACAUCAUCCCGAAUGUUUUAUCCCCGAAUGUACCGUUUUACCGAAUGUAACAUUCCCUCAAAUUUAAUUGCUUUUCGAAAUCCCCCCACCCCCGCAGUAAUCUCCUUGUGCAGACAAUAUGUAAAAGAGAUAAGUUACUGCUUUCCAAAAUUUCAAUUUAUACGCUACCUCUUUCAAAAGUGUACUCACUUUUAAGGUGAACACAGUUAAUAGAAGACAUUUGACAUUUUACGCUACAAAAUUGAACAAUAUUAUCAAUACAAAAAGAAUAUCGAUAUUCUCGAUUAAUAUCGACAACUUUCCACCCCUAUCGUAAAAAGUAAAUAAAUAAUCUUUGAACAGUGAAAAGUAAAAAACCCUCAGCAGUAAAUCUAUGCCUACAUAAUUGUAACAAUCUAACGUUAUGAAUUAUUAGUAAUAAGUAUUGCCAAAAAUCAGUUUAUGCACAUUCUAAAGUGGCAAUUAUUGAAAACUUCAUAGAAAAACAAAAAACUCACAAGAAACGACAAGCAGGUGUGAAGGCUGACAGGAAAAAGAGAAAAACAAAAUCAUCUGAAAAAAAACUGAGAAUGUUAGAGCAUUUGCAAUCACAAAAGCAAACGAUUUCAACAUAAGGAAGAUAUUUUUUAACUGGAAAACAGCUUAUUCCCCGAUAGAUAAAACACCGGAAGAACCUGCUCUGUUUUGAUCGCCGUCGUUAGGCCUCGUUGAAAAAUUUGAUAAAGAAAUCACAAAAUUAGGUGUAAGUGUAAAACACCAAAAUCAGGUGUAACCUUCAAGGCUUUUGACCUCUUUGGGCUAUGCUACCAGAAGUCAUAGCCAGUAAUUUUCACCGAUGUGAGAAUGUGUACAUACGUUUUUGUCAAUUAUCGUUAUAUUUCAAGCUGAUGUAUAAAGAAUCAUUAUUACUGAAUUUCCAGAAGUUAUAGGUUUUUCUGGUCAAAAGGUUUCCUACAGACGUUCUUAUGACAUUCUGAGUAAAACUAGUUUUGAAAGCAUAUUGCUGUGCACGAAACUGCGUUUUUAACUCUUGUACUAUAGCUGUAAAUUGGUUGUUCAAACUUAUGAUUGUCAUCAAGACACCGUACAUUUUUUGUUACACCUCACAUAUUUUACAAUAAAACCUGGUCGGAAAUCAGUGUUAUCAAUACGGCAAUGCUUCACUGUGGUUAAUCUAUCGGGCAAGUCAAACAAUAUGCUUUUAAAUUCAAGAUACUCUUUUGAAAUUUGUUCUUCGCUUACAAUAUGAAUUUUACCUAGUGUGUAAUCAUGUUUUAAAAUAUCAUAAUUCUGUUUUAGAUUCAUUCUCUUCAUAAGACUAUAGGUAAUGUUUUUGAAAUUCAUACAGUUUCUGGCUAUGCUUUUAGAAGCUUUGAACUUGGCUUCGAAUGCCAAACAGCUUCCAAAACAUAUUGGCUGAUUUUUCUGAAGUAUCAUCGGGUAGUGACUAAUAUGGUGAAGUUUAUUUAUUGGACGUAGAUUAGUGAAACAUCUUUUAAAACAACUGUGUAGAUCAGAUAUACAAAACUUCAAAUCCUCUAACAUAUCAGAAGAAACUUUACUAGAAAAUGAUAUGAAUGUAAGUUCGAGUAAAUUUUUUAUUAUAGCCGUGAAGUCUGCAUUACGGUCGAGAAUAUCAUUAAAAACGAAUGGGAAAAUUCUCAAUAACAGCCAUGUCUGCGAAGCUGAUUGACUCAAAGCAUUACCUUUUGUUUUUAAUAAUUUUGACGAUAAAUUACUGGAUGGUUUAUCGCGAAUUUCAAUUGCACCAUAAUCAAAAUUAUCGAUUCUUGAAUUAAUUUCAUCACAAGUUAAUAAUUUUUGUUCAUUUACAGAAAUGUUCAAUAUAUGUUUGAUCAUCAUGGGAGCUAUGCCCUCUAAUAUAUCAUGCAUUGGAUCGAAACACCAAUUGUCCGCUAUAUUAAAAUGUACUAAAGAGUUUAAUAUGCACCGAUUGGCAACACCACUAUCGGAGGGCAUUUGGAUUUUUUGUUCAACAGCUGCUAAAUCUUUAGCCAUACUUGGAGCAGUUCUUUCUGGAAACGUUGCCCCGAAAUUACCCUCCAUUAUAUCGCCCCGUGAAAUGUAGCAUUGCCUGCAGAAAUACGAUGCUUGAGGACCUAGUAACUGAAAAAAAUCAUGCACAGCCAGCGUAUCACCAACUACAUUGCAUAAAACUGCUCUCAAUGUGAAUGUUUGUCCAUUUAUGAUUAGCGGUAUUCCUUCAUCGGAUUCCAAUCUUUUCAAAUCUCGUAUUAACGGUUUUAGAACCUUCUCAUAGCCAUAUUUUUUCAAAAGGACAGACCGAACCAUGAGAAUCGUAUAAAUGCUACGUGGUGAUGAAUUCACAACCGGAUGAAGGUUUUGAAUUUUAAUGCUAAUGUUGGUGAUUUUCUUUUUUCCUUUCCUGGAUCCCAAAGGGUUGAGAUAUUCAACGUCAUCAACGUGUAGUGAUAGGCGCAGAGCAUUCGGGUAUCGUUGAAAAUAAGAAUGGUUUUUGAACUGCCACCCAUCCUUGAAGGAACAUGUGCCAUCAUUUCGCGGUUCUUCAGUAUUGACCAUCUUUUUCGCAUCACCAUUGUUCAUUAUUAAUCGAAGUAUGCUGAUAAUCGAUAUAUAAUGAGCCAUGUCAUUGAGUUGAACAAUCUUAUGCCUAAUUUCAGAUUUUUCAGACGUACAUAAUUGGUAGCGGGCUCUUCGUUUCGAACCUAGACAAACUAGUUUCUUUAUUUUGCGCUUCGAAAGUAACACUUCCUCAGUAACUGGCAUUGCGCAUUUACUUUGCAUAGCGAGCUGAUCUAUAGUGUCGUUAAACGAUCUUAUGGCCCCAAAAAUUUCUGGUAUUUCCAGCUCAUUAAAUAAUUUUACCACCGAUGAAUCAUUGAAUUGAAUAUUGGAUCUUGAAAAAAAUCUUUUCACAACCGUUAACGUAUAUUUCUGACUCAAUUCCAAUCCAGCAGCACAGCCGUCCAUGAAAUGUUGAAUUUUAUUCUCUGGCAAAGAGACAUCGCAACGCAUGCGUGUGACACGGUCUAUCAUUUCAGUGGUUAGCUCUUUUAUACCAACAGAUUUUUCGUAAUAAAAUCGGUUUUUUAUUACAUUCGCAUCUCCCAUUUCAUUAUCAAGAUUUUUAUCAUCAUUCUCUAAAAUGGGAUUGGGAAUGGUUUUAGGAGGUGAAUCGAUAAUUGGAUGACGUUUUAUUAGAUGUUCCUGGAGAUGAUAAAAGCUGGCGUAGACUGCAUUGCACAUGCUGCAUUUAAGCGGUGGCCAACACUUGCUGUGUGUUUUCAAGCCAUGUACUGACUUGCAAUGUUGUUUCAUCUCAUUUAUAUGGCCCUCGAUGAUCUGAUCACAUCCGUCAACGGAACAUACAAAUCGUUCGAAUCUGGUAAUUCAAUAAAGUUCUCGAUAUAGAUAAGUUCUUAACUAUGGUCAGGCCCGGAUUUGAGGAGGGCCUAGUUGCAAAUGCCCCGGGCCUCCCGACUCGAGGACCCCCUUAGACGAAGUGAAGACCUCUUUUUUGGCUCGUCACCUUCCAGCGGUGCGAAGGUGUAGCACAAUUUUUCGUCGAAUUCGCCCCGGGUCCCCUAACGCCCAAAUCCGGCCCUGACUAUGGUCUCUGUUUAAUUAAAUUUAAUUUAGGUUUAAUUUCAGAAUAAAAAUUAUUGCGUCAGCUAAAAAAUCCAAGUUUAAUGAUAUUUAAUUUAGGUGUAGUUUAAGAAUAAAAAUUAUUGCGUUAGCUAAAAAAUGUUCGUUGAAACUAUAAUUUCUAAGUAUUUCAAGAGAUUGUGGGAUAACAAUAUCUGUUAAAUCUAAGCGUAUCACUAACCUUUUACUUUUCAAAUGUUUCGGAAUCCAAAAUGCGUUUUAGCUGAUCCAUGGUUCUGGAAGAAUGAAAAAAAACAUAUAUAUCCUAUAAACAGCUAGUCAAGCCUAAGGCAAUCGAAAAUAUAUAUUUUUCAAUUAAA